Molecule: long non-coding RNA, 4134 nt
Filed under: Chinchilla lanigera (long-tailed chinchilla)
Lineage: Eukaryota; Metazoa; Chordata; Mammalia; Rodentia; Chinchillidae
Description: lncRNA (ENSCLAG00000027342.1)
Source: RNAcentral
GGGUUUGUUCUAUCACUCAUCACUUUAAAAGGCUUAUGAAUCCGCAGUCAAAACCAACAGGAGCCAGGCAUUCGCGGUGCACACCUGUAAUCUCAGCACUUGGGAGGCUGAGGCAGGAGGAUCGCCACUAGUUCAAGGCCAGCUUGGGCUCCAUAGUUCAAGGGUGGUCUGAACUAUGUGGCAAGACCCCCGUCUCAAAGAAGAGUUCAAGGCCAGCCUGAACUGCAAAGCAAAACCCUGCCUCAAAAGGCCCCCCUAAAAAAUUAAAGAAAAAAAAAAACAAACAAACCAAAAAACCCUCAGACAACAACAACAAGAACAAAGCUCCAGAGGGUGUAUUGGAUAUAUCUCUCCUGAAAUGUUGUCUCUGGGCUCUCCAAGUGGACCCCAGGAUACGCACUGUCUUGGAACGGCCUCAGAAGGGAAACGGCUGCCGUCUCCUCGUGGGCCAAAUGUCAGCAAAUUCUUCAGCAGCUAACGGACACCCAGCCUUGGGGACUGGGGCUCCCAGGGUUCCAGCCGGGGACCUGACACACGUGCUGUCUCUCCCCUCUCUGGAGCCGACCUGGGAGGGCCACGCCCCGUGAUCCUUCCAGUCAGCGGUCCAGGUGUCGGGACUGGAGUCCUUGGCACACCGGUCCUGCCUGGCCUCACCGGCGGAAGCCUGACAUUCCCGAAAACAGAACCCGCCCCCUGCGUGCUGCUGUGAGCCCAUGGGAGACCUGAACCUCCACUGAAGAAGGAGAAGGUCGCUUCCUCAUGUAAGUGACGCCAGCCUGUUGAUUGUCCUGGUCAUGGUGGCCUCUCUCAUACAAACCGUGCAGGGAGAACGUCGCUCCUUCUUAGCCCAGGAGCACAGCGAGGCGGAUCGCGGGGAAGCACGCCGGGUCUGCGAUUCCCUCCAGCACCCAGCACUCAGGACGCCGGGUGGGUGCCCCCUCCAGGGACACGGCUGGAGCCGGUCGCGUGAUCUCGCUGAGAGGACGCAUCCCACCAAGGCAACUGAGUGGCCCGUCCAUUCCAGGCCCAGGCGCAAGCAGACAGCGGCGGCCAUGUGGUCACUGGCUGAGCCCCGGCCGAGCCCCGGUUGUCCAAGUCCUCGGGUCACAGCCUUGUCACAGACCGAACAAUCGAAGAUAUCAAUCGGAUAUUUUCCAGCGUGGGACAGCUGUGUACGGCCAGUCUCUUCCAGACCCUUCUGCCUCAGCCUUCUAAGUGGCUCCUGCCAGUUUUUUGCAAGAUGUUUUCAAGUUGCAAGCUGGGGUUGUUCCAGGCUGCUCAGAGAAUUAUUCCUGUUCUUGGAUCUGCCUGGCCACUUUGGUGAUGAAUACAAUUGAUUAGCCUAAAAGGAAAGUGUAGAUCAGUGGUAGCUGUCUCUCAUGUAAUUCUGUAGAAAUGUGGUAUUGUAAGGGUCCUGCUGCUCCAGGGCACAUCCCUACCUUCCUGCAACGGGCUGACAGAGUUUUCAGCUUUGGAGACCAGGUUGUUGCUCAGGUCACUACUCUUAUCCUAGAGGAAAAGCUACUGCAGGUAGAAUGAAUGUUCACGGCUGGGUGCCAAUAAAACUUUAUUCAAACAGGCACUGGAGCUAGGUGCAGUACCACAUGCCUGUAAUCCCAGCAUUCUGAGAGGCUGAGCCAGGAGGAUUGCAAGUUUGGAUAUCUUAGUGAGACCCUCAAAAAAUAAAAAGGGCUGGGUAUAUAGCUCAGUGUGAAGCCACUGUGUUCAACUCCCAGUACCAAAACACCACCCAAAACCCAGAACCCCAAAAUCAGGUGCAGCAUUUGGCCAGAGGGCUGGAAUUCACUGACCUCUGUCUGGCCAUGGCCAGGAAAACGCCAGCCCCACUCCAGGAGUCAUUUGAGCAGGCAGCCACUAGGUGGCAGCAGGGAGCCGGCUCCCAGGUCCCCAGUGUCUCCCACAGCGGGGGCAGCCCAGCAUGGCCGAGGCACCUGUCAGGAUGAAGUGGCUCUGACUCGCACACCUGUGCUCCCAGCAGGAUGCUCCACAGCAGACUGAAGGUGGAAACGACCCAGUGUCCACCCACCGGUGGAGGGGAACAAGAGGAGUCUGUCUGCACACUGGAGCACGAUGCAGCCAGGAAAAGGAAGUCCACAGCCUGGUUGGACCUUGAGGCCGGGCUGCUCAGGAGCCUAGCCAGACAUAGAAGGUCACACACUGCAGGGUCCCUCUCCCAGGACGGCCCUGUGUGGUCAGAGCCACAGAGAUGGAAGACGGGGACGCCGGGCUGGGGCAAGGAAUGGGGGUCAGCAUUUCCUGGGUGGAGGCUCAGCUGAGGGAGGUGAGAGAGGCCUGGAGGUGGAGGAGGGCUACGGGCUGGGUUUUCCCUUGCCAAAUUCAUUUGCUGAAACUCCAGCCCCCGGGUGAUGGUGCUGAGAGGUGAGGGCUUGGAAGAUUUUUUGUGUGUACAUUAUUGAGGGUUGAGUCCAGGGCCUUUGCAUUUGGCUACAUCUCCAGCCUUGUUCUUUUUUUCUUUUUGAGACAGGGUCUCACUAUGUAGUUCAGGCUGGCCUUGAGUUCACUUUGUAGCCCAGGCUGUUCUUGAACUUGCAAGGAUUCUCCUGCCUCAGCCUCCAGAGUGCUGGGAUUACAGGUGUGUGCCACCAUGUCCAGCUCUCCAGCUCUUUUUAUUUUAUUUAUUUAUUUCAAUUUAAAAAAAGAGUCUAGUUAAGUUAUCAAAUUGCCCAGGCGGAGCUCUGCCUUGCGAUCCUCCUGCCUAAGCCUCCCAAGUAGCUGGGAUGCCAGGCACCCAGCACCUUUGGAGGGAGUUAGAGUCAUAUGGGAAGUGCCCCUCCUCCAUUAGUGCCUCUGUAAGAAGUGGGAGAGGCCAGAGCUCGCCCUCCCUACUACAAGAGGACGGAGCCAGCAGGUGGCGUCCACAGCACAGAAGCUGGUCCUCCGCAGGAACUUGGCUCAGGCCACCCUGAUCUUGUGGGCUUCUGGGCUCCAGAAUUGACAAAUAAAGGUUCGUGGUUUCAGCCCCAGCUGGGGGUCCUGUCGCAGCACCCAAACAGAGCUGCUGGUGGAGACUUGCACAGCACCAAGGAUGUGCUUAAGGCUGCUCGAGUGGGCACUCAAAAACGCCAAAGAUGGUCAGUUUGAAUUUACAUAUAUUUUGUCACAAUAAAAAAAAAAUUGGUGUUGGGCACAGUGGCACAUGCUUGUGAGCAUAGCCCUCAGGGAGGCUGAGGCAGGAGGGCUGCAAGUUCAGAGUCUUUUUGCUGAGCUAUAUCCCCAGCCUCUUUGUUAUGUUUUAUUUUAGGACCUUGGCUGAGUUGCCAAGGAUGGCUAUAGAAUCCAGGCUGGCCUUGAGCUCCCAGUGAUCCUCCUGCCUCAGCCUCCUGAGUGCUGGGGUGUCAGGCGUGUGCCACGACACACGGCUUCAGUUGUCAUUGUUCAGAGUGACCCACAAAUGUGUACACUGGCUCUCAGAUUGAGAGUGGGCCAUCCCGUGUGUGCACUACCGGGCAUGGCCUCUGCCACAGAGCUGGAAUUUUGGGCCCAUCCUGGACUUGUGACCAGGACUGGUUUGUGCCUGGUGGUUCCCAGCCCUAAUCUCCAGGUCAAGAAAAUGCUGGUUGCUGACUGAGCCCUUUCCUGCUGCCUCAGCGGAAUCUGGCCUGUCAGUUCUGCCUGCAGGAUGAAGCGUGGCAGCAGGUGGCCCAGCCUGCUGGAAAGCUCCGUGCUGGGCAGAAGGCCUCAUGGUCACAGUGUGCAGAGAUCGGGGGCAGGGAGGGGGCAGGCAAGGAGUGGGACCUGGGGAACUGUAUUUGCCCACUCUGUGUUAGUCUAAUUAAAUGCUGAGACUGGAUCCUCUUAGAGAGGAGAAAAGGUUAGUGUGCGCCUGUCAUCCCAGAUCCUUAGGCGGCUGAGGCAGGCGAAUCUCAACGAUGCAGAAGGUGUGAACUAGCUGGGCCUAUGUGUGGUGGUGCAUGCUUGUAAUCCCAGCAUGCGGGAGGCUGGGGCAGGAGGAUCCUUGCAAGUUCGAGGCCAGCCUGGACUACAAAGUGAGCUCAAGGUCAGCCUGAACUGCAUAGUGAGACCCUGUCUCAAACACACACACACACACACACACACACACACACACACACACACACGGUGCAAACUCAAUCU